CCUACGAGGUGCAGCAGUGAGGAAUAUUGGUCAAUGGGCGCGAGCCUGAACCAGCCAAGCCGCGUGAAGGAUGACUGCCCUACGGGUUGUAAACUUCUUUUAUAAAGGAAUAAAGUGAGACACGUGUGCCUUUCUGUAUGUAUCUUACGAAUAAGGAUCGGCUAACUCCGUGCCAGCAGCCGCGGUAAUACGGAGGAUCCGAGCGUUAUCCGGAUUUAUUGGGUUUAACGGGUGCGUAGGUGGGCGGGUAAGUAAGAGGUGAAAGUUUGCGGCUCAACCGUGGAAUUGCAAGUGAUACUGGCAGGCUAGAGGGCAGUAGAGGUAGGCGGAAGGCGUGGUGUAGCGGUGAAAUGCGUAGCGAUCACGAAGAACACCGAUUGCGAAGGAAGCCUACUAACCUGCAACUGACGUUGAUGCACGAACGUGUGGGGAUCAAACAGGAUUAGAUACCCGGGUAGUC
This 460-nucleotide ribosomal RNA is filed under the name uncultured bacterium. Its description in RNAcentral is "partial 16S ribosomal RNA". It matches the Rfam family "Bacterial small subunit ribosomal RNA", at positions 338 to 795 of the family's 1533-position model. The record is from RNAcentral.